This is a long non-coding RNA of Drosophila simulans, 4220 nucleotides long. RefSeq lists it as uncharacterized. NCBI's taxonomy places the organism in Eukaryota, Metazoa, Arthropoda, Insecta, Diptera, Drosophilidae. The transcript has 3 exons. The record is from RefSeq and is a predicted model, not a curated record.
GUAUGUCCGUAUGUACGUAUGUCCGUAUGUCCGUAUGUCCGUAUCUCCGUAUGUCCGUCUGUCCACCUGACCGUAUGUCCGUAUGUCCGUAUGUCCGUCUGUCCGUAUGUACUCUUCAAAAAGCCAAAUUGUGUCUCAACAAAUAUUCAAAACUUCAUAAAUGCAUUAAUUUCUCGGAAGUGGUUUAACUGAGCUGAAAGCUGGUUAUAUUUGAACGGCUCAGUUCCAACGAAAGCGAAGCCGACAUCUCCAAAUGCCCGAAAAGAAGUUGAGGAUCUUUAUGUCUUCCCUGAACGAUAUGUCAGCCCGAUCGCAUCAGUCCAGCGUGAUCCUGUAAAAUGUAAUGCCAAGUCCCCCUAAGCCGCUUAAGAGUCCCCCGCGUUGGCAUCGCCAAGUGGCCGCUCAGCCCGAAUCGAACCGUAGCCAAAGUUCAUGUAACGUCAACGACUCAAUACGGAGCUACUGAUUUACACACAGGCACAUGUAUGCAUGCUGGUCGAGGAUCCCAUCCAGCUCCAGCUCCAGCUCCAUCUCCACAGAGCUGUGGAGUCCGACUCUGGCAACAUGAUUGCACGUAUAGUGGAACAAAUUCAUGGCAUACGCGGCAAUCGCAGGCAGCACCUUGGCAAUCAGCAACGCAAACAUGGAAAGCCGGGGAUUUCGGCCAGGAUGACUAGUUCAAUGAGCUGCUUUAGUUUGUAGCGAAAUCUUCAAUCAAACAUCGUACGACUAUCUUCAAUCGGGAAGCGCACCUUGAUUAACCGAAAUUACCAUUGAAAUGCCCAAGAAAGCAAAACAAAACAAAUUAAUUCGUAGAAAAAGUUUCGCAGAAUCGCUGCAGCCAAAAGAAGAACACAAAUCGCUUUUACGGAAUUACGGAAACUGUUGUAAGAAGAGGGUUUCGCUGCCCAGCGACGACAGAGGGACGGACCGCAGAUCCGACACCAGAUCAGCCGCCAGAUCGGUUCAGCUGGAUGAGAUGAAAUGGGAUGGGAUGAGAUGAGAUGGGACAUCGACAGCUACAGCUACAGCCACAACCAGAACGACAACAGGUAACAGAAGCCGUAUACGCCAGAUUAACGCCCGAGGCGAGAUGGCUUCGACUUCGACUUUGACUUUGAUCUGCAGCGACUUUUGCACUUGCGCAAAAAAAAAAAGAAGCCAAUCCGGCGGUAAGAAUUCCCAGCAAAUCAGAUUAUACACAGUAGGUUCGGUCGGUGGAGGGCCGAAAUUGUUUUAAUUAUGACAUUGCCCCGGGUGUAGGAAGUGUGAGAGUAGAGACAACAAUAAUAAUAAUAACAAUAACAAUAAUAACAGCGGACAGGCCGUUGUUCCCAGUGGCCUUUGAUGUCUUAUUCCUUUGGUCCAGUGCCGACAAGCUGUAACACCUGAAAAGGAGAUGUGUAUCUGGACCUGGACUGGUCGCAUCGAUAAUCUACGGGCUCGGCACUCAGCCCUGAUCUCUUUCUCCUCCCGACACUCGCAGCGGGAAUUCAAUUUGGUUUACAACAAUAAAACGUCUUAUUUAGGUUCGGUUAUUAAUGAUGAGUUAUGGGUUCAGACCUCCUUCGGAGACGAGCGGACCCAUCAUCAUCAUCAUCAUCAUGUUCCCAACCAACCAAUGUUCUCGGAAGGUAGAACGAAUCGUGCUGUCCUCACUGAUCUCGUAAAUCUCAACAUUUCUUCUACAACCUAUUCGAAGCGAAAGAAUUGAGCUGAUUUUUCCCAAAACUGACAUUUCUUUCAUUAUAAUAGAACCUUGGAUCUAUCAGUGGAUAAAACAUGAUGUUAGCAAGAGACUACGAAAUCAUUACUUAUAGAAAAACAAAUGGCAAUUCUUCUAAGUUACUUAAUUUCAGAACUUUUCCUUUAAGAAGUUCAACUAAAUACAUCGUAAGAACUUGAGAUAUAAUAAACCAUUAUAUUUAUCAUAUCAUUUAUAUAACUAAGAUAUACUAUAACAAUACUAAAACAUUUAUGCAAGGUAACUACUCUUGGCUCCAUUGUUUGUUCUUCCUAAUGAAUUCCAUAAAAAGUGAACGAUUCCCGGGUAAACGCUAAGAGCAGUUUGUCACUUCUGCUGAAACAUCUGUUCGCUGGAACUCCCUCCUCCACGUCCAAGUCCCCGCCCCUCUCCCUUGGGUAGAACCUACUCCCACGCAGUGGAUGGGAGUCCGUGUUUAGUUAACCUUUCCGGAUGACAAACGCAGAUCAUUACACCGAGUGCGACAACAAACAAAUGGGUUCUCAAGACGAAUUCCCCGGUGGGUUGCCAAACAAAGGCGUCUCGAGUCUUCGGCUCCGUUGUCUUCGGCCGUUUUCGAAAUCUUCUGAAUAGAGGAAGCGCAGUACCGGCCACAAUACAUUAGAAAAACUGUCAAAGCUGAAUGGGCAACUUAAGAGGUUUAACGCGCGCUCUUGCGUUUCUUCUUUUCUUUCAGCAUUUCCAGUUUCUACCUACCGCAGCAGUGAAAUUCUAUAUACACAUACCCAUACCCAGAACCCCACAAAACUUCAGCCCGCAUUUCGGAGUCGAUCAAGUUAUUAACUGGAGAUCUCGAUUCCUCCUCAGUGGGCACGGGUACUCCCUACUUGGUUUGAUAAAUGGGCGCACGCCUAGAGCGGGCUAAUCGGAAACUUCCGGCACAUUGGAGCUCAUAAAUAAAGUCCACUGUGCACCCAGAGAAAUUAUUUAAAUGUUUUUGAAUAUUAACCUUUCUAAGCAAGAUGGGUUAUAGGUAAAUGACAGACACCUACAGCUCACAGCUAUAAUUCCCAAAUGAUCGGAGCCAUUUGGAUAUAUCUUAAAUGGAGAGAGAAAGGAAAAGUUCCUAUUUACUUUGAACAAUAAUUUUAUCACAAAUAAAAGAGCGAGAAAAGAGCUAAUAUUGAAUAUUAUCGUUAAAUAGAAUAUAUACUUUUACUUUAAAAAAUCAUUGCAUACUUUGCAACAGCAUUAAAAGGUACUUCAAUCUUCUGUGUGCCUCUUAUUGUUUUCAAUCCGUUUUAAAUUAGAAUGAAUACAUAUUCAACUUAUUAAUUCAAAGAAGAAGCUUCAAUUAUUAAUUAAAACAAGAAGCUUAAAUUAUAACUUAUAUUAUUAUUCUUCCAUUUUAUAAUGGUCCAUAGAAAGUUCCUAUUUUUCUGGGUGCACUGCUGGCCAAAACAAGUGGACGAGGCCACCAAAUGACGGCCCACGCCUGACCCCGACUGCGACGACCCAGGGACAACGUCUCGCUUAUCAUGACCCGAUAUUGGACGACGUGUGCGGGCCGCCCCUGCCCCCGCCCCCCUCAGCUGGAUCAAUUAAAACGCAGGCGAGGGCAGCGGGCGGCGGGCUAACAACUCAAUACAAUGUAAACAAAUGAUAUACGGUCGCAGGGCCACCAUAGAGUCAGGGUCCAUUUCCAUUUCCAUUUCCAUGCCCAUUUCCAGUUUGAGCUCGAUUUUCAUUUUCCGGAUCGGAGCGAUUGAAACGUCUCUACCUUUUCCACAAAAGCGACAGCCGCACAGCUGGACUCGGCCGACUGGCUCAGCAGUCGCAGCAAAUCAAUUCGAAAGAGAUUUUCAUUUGAUCCGAGCUCGAGUUGGAGUCGUAAAAAGCGGGCCCGUGGUCAGGCUAACGUUCGUCUGGUGGCGAUGGUGGCCUGGUGGUCCCGGCCGAUGUGCAGCGAUCGUAUCUGGCCAGAUAUGUCGGCCCAAACAAGUUGAGUUGUCAACGCAGCUCCGCAGGCCACGUGAAGUGUCGUUGAGUUAUGACGGUACCGGGUCUUACCCCGAAUCCGAAUCCUAAUCCGAAUCUGAAUCCGCAGCUAGCUCAAUGUUAGGUCUUUACGACUCUGCCGGCCAUUUGGCUAAUUGAUCGUAUUAAGCUGUGGGAAAAGUAGUUUGGGUACUUGCUGAUCAUACAUUGUUGAUUGCACGUGGGUGAUCCUCGGCCAGGAGCACUGACCAGGUGUCUUUUUCGAUGGAUUUUCGAAAGUGCACUAUCGAGUCUUGACCACAACAUUUCUUCUCGUUGCCAGUGGGGAAGCCAAAGAAAGGAAUGAAUGUUAUAAACAAAUGACUGUCUAAGUUUACACAUUUUUAAGGCUUAUAAUCGUGCUCUGGGAGCCACACAAUCUUCGGCCGCAAGUUCAACAUUCAAUUAGUUGGGUUCACACACACCGUACCUACUCUUAUUACUCCACUCCACUCCACUUCGCGGCAGUGUAAAUAAA